ACGGCUCAGUAACACGUGGUCAAUCUGCCCUUAGGACAGGGAUAUCCACGGGAAACUGUGGCUAAUACCUGGCAGAGGUUAAUUGUUGGAACACAUCUACCUCGAAAGGCAACGCCUAAGGAUGAGACUGCGGCUGAUUAGCUAGUUGGUGGGGUAACUGCCUACCAAGGCUUUGAUCAGUACGGGCUCUUAGCGGAGUUGCCCGGAGAGGGAAUCUGAGACACUAUUCCCAGCCCUACGGGGUGCAGCAGCAGCGAAUCAUUUGCAAUGCACGAAAGUGUGACAAUGCGAACCAAAGUGCCUAUUCAUUUGAAUAUGCUUUUCUUUGCUCUAAAAAUGCAGAGGAAUAAGGACUGGGCAAGACCGGUGCCAGCCGCCGCGGUAAUCCCGGCAGUUCAAGUCGCAUCCACUAUUAUUGGGUCUAAAACAUCCGUAGCUUGUAGUUUAAGUCUCCUGUGAAAUCUUGCUUCUCAAGGGCAAGGCUUGCAGGAGAUACUGGAUUGCUAGAGAUCGGUAGACGUAAAGAGUACACUGGAGGUAGUGGUAAAAUACGUUAAUCUUCGGUGGACUAACAAUCAGCGAAGGCACUUUACGAGGACGAAUCUGACAGUGAGGGAUGAAGGCCAAGGGCGCAAAACGGAUUAGAUACCCGUGUAGUCUUGGCAGUAAACACUGCUCACUAAACAUUGGGCCCUCUUCGGGAGGAUUCAGUGCUGAAGCGAAGGCAAAGAGUGAGCUACCUGGGAAGUAUAGUCGCAAGAUCGAAACUUAAAGGAAUUGGCGGGGGAG
Molecule: ribosomal RNA, 789 nt
Filed under: uncultured archaeon
Lineage: Archaea
Description: bacterial SSU rRNA
Rfam family: Archaeal small subunit ribosomal RNA
Source: RNAcentral